This 587-nucleotide unclassified non-coding RNA is filed under the name Hevea brasiliensis (rubber tree). Lineage: Eukaryota; Viridiplantae; Streptophyta; Magnoliopsida; Malpighiales; Euphorbiaceae. The record is from RNAcentral.
CCACACUUCCACCAAAGUUUUUGAUUGCUGGUCUCAGUAUAUCGAGAUGACCAUUCACUGCCUCAGCAGUUGUUUCCCUUGCUUCUUCAUCAUAUACUUGGCAAAUGUCUUUAACUGCAUCUCCAAAUUUUUCCUUCAGUACUCUUUCAAUCCCCAUUUUCAUGGUGGUUGUUGAGCUAGGACAGCUACCACAUGCUCCCUGGAGUUUGAGAGAGAUAAUACCGUCUUCGACGGAAACAACGUCGACGUUUCCACCAUCAGCAAUCAAGUAAGGCCGAACAUCCUCGAGAACCAAGUCCACGUUUUGAGCAGUAAGCUCAAAUUUCUGCGCAGAGUAAAGUCCUGGAGAUUGGGAACCAGUGGCUGCACUUGGACUCGUCGCUUUUAUAGCCGUUUUAGACAAGACCACUUUUCGAGAGACUGGUCUGAUUUGUUGUAGAGUUAUGGGCUGUGGAAACCGACGGGUAUUGGGCAGAAUUUCUGGAGAAGACGGUGAGAUCUUGGACAAAGCGGUAGAGGUUAGGGAAGCCAUGAUUGCGGAGAAGAUAAGGCCCGUUUGAGGCUUUGAAUGGUUAACUAUUUUUGAG